GGCCACGUAGCUCAGCUGAUAGAGCAUGCGCUGCACAAAAGCUUAGACGGCGUCCAUGCGUGGGUUCGAAUCCAACCGAGGCUA
Molecule: transfer RNA, 84 nt
Filed under: Echinostoma caproni
Lineage: Eukaryota; Metazoa; Platyhelminthes; Trematoda; Plagiorchiida; Echinostomatidae
Rfam family: tRNA
About the family: Transfer RNA (tRNA) molecules are approximately 80 nucleotides in length. Their secondary structure includes four short double-helical elements and three loops (D, anti-codon, and T loops).
Source: Rfam by way of RNAcentral